Molecule: ribosomal RNA, 239 nt
Filed under: Mesocestoides sp. IT-d4
Lineage: Eukaryota; Metazoa; Platyhelminthes; Cestoda; Cyclophyllidea; Mesocestoididae
Description: partial small subunit ribosomal RNA
Source: RNAcentral
UUGUAAAGGAUGAUCCGCCUAUUAAUUUACUUUUAUUAUGUUGGUGUAUAUCUGGUUUAAUAUUAUUGCUUUAAUAGCUUAAUUUGUGUAUAAGUAUUUAAGCCAAGUCUAUGUGCUGCUUGUGAAAGAUUUCAUGCGUUACAUUUAUAAAUUUAUUCCUGUAAGUUGGGUCUUGUUUACAUUGAGGACUUAAAAGUAAUGUAGAAUUAGUUUGUCUAUGUGAAAAGGGUUUAGCUCGG